RNAcentral lists this long non-coding RNA (310 nucleotides) under Capsella rubella. RNAcentral's name for it is "long non-coding RNA (CRUB_LNC004387)". The record is from RNAcentral. Lineage: Eukaryota; Viridiplantae; Streptophyta; Magnoliopsida; Brassicales; Brassicaceae.
AAACUUUCUUUUACAUUAAAAGAAAAUGACAUAAAAAAGAAACAAAUAUUUUUCUAUGGCUCGAUUAUCAAAGAACACAUUUAAUAAAAAGUUCUUAACGUAUUGGAAACAGUCAAAGCAGAAUGAUUUUCGAGGAAAACAGGAAAAAAAGAAACAAAGAAAAAAAAAAAUCUCAGCUUUUUAAAAAACUUUUUCUUCUCUUUCUUUAAAAUUAUUUUUGAGGAAAUUUCAAAACACACACUACUUUACUUACUGUAACUGAUGUUACUUAAAAUAUUAUCCAUUUAGCCAAAACAAAAAUGAAUUUUUC